RNAcentral lists this ribosomal RNA (564 nucleotides) under uncultured bacterium. RNAcentral's name for it is "bacterial SSU rRNA". It matches the Rfam family "Bacterial small subunit ribosomal RNA", at positions 338 to 917 of the family's 1533-position model. The record is from RNAcentral.
CCUACGGGAGGCAGCAGUGGGGAAUCUUGCGCAAUGGGCGAAAGCCUGACGCAGCAACGCCGCGUGCGGGAAGAAGGCUUUCGGGCUGUAAACCGCUUUCAGCAGGAACGAAAAUGACGGUACCUGCAGAAGAAGGAGCGGCCAACUAUGUGCCAGCAGCCGCGGUGAUACAUAGGCUUCAAGCGUUGUCCGGAUUUAUUGGGCGUAAAGAGUUCGUAGGCGGUCGAGUAAGUCGGGUGUGAAAAUUCUGGGCUCAACCCAGAGACGCCACCCGAUACUGCUUAACUUGAGUUCGAUAGGGGAGUGGGGAAUUCCUAGUGUAGCGGUGAAAUGCGCAGAUAUUAGGAGGAACACCGGUGGCGAAGGCGCCACUCUGGAUCGAUACUGACGCUGAGGAACGAAAGCAUGGGUAGCAAACAGGAUUAGAUACCCUGGUAGUCCAUGCCGUAAACGGUGGGCACUAGGUGUGGGAUUCUAUUAACGAAUUCCGCGCCGUCGCUAACGCAUUAAGUGCCCCGCCUGGGGAGUACGGUCGCAAGACUAAAACUUAAAGGAAUUGAACGG